GGAAAAGCGACGAGAAGGAGAAGUAGAAAAUCAGGCUUUUUACAGAGAGAACCACCUUUAGGCUGGAAGUGGUUUAUAAGCGGAUUUUUGAAAUGCCCCUUCGAGUCUUCUGCUGAACAGCAAAUUGCUUUGCAAAACGUCUUAGGGCGUAAAAAGUAAGCAGAAGCGGUGUACACCGUUAUCAGAGAUGAGUUUGAGGCUUUUUUAGCCUAAACAGAGUGGAACCGCGCUUAUAAGGCGUCUCUGUC
RNAcentral lists this non-coding RNA (248 nucleotides) under Bacillus anthracis (anthrax bacterium). RNAcentral's name for it is "T-box sequence". It matches the Rfam family "T-box leader". Rfam says of the family: Uncharged tRNA acts as the effector for transcription antitermination of genes in the T-box leader family. T-boxes are found upstream of many aminoacyl-tRNA synthetase genes and some amino acid biosynthetic genes usually in Gram-positive bacteria. The record is from RNAcentral. Lineage: Bacteria; Bacillati; Bacillota; Bacilli; Caryophanales; Bacillaceae.